CAUAAGACUGGGAUAACUCCGGGAAACCGGGGCUAAUACCGGAUAACAUUUUGAACUGCAUGGUUCGAAAUUGAAAGGCGGCUUCGGCUGUCACUUAUGGAUGGACCCGCGUCGCAUUAGCUAGUUGGUGAGGUAACGGCUCACCAAGGCAACGAUGCGUAGCCGACCUGAGAGGGUGAUCGGCCACACUGGGACUGAGACACGGCCCAGACUCCUACGGGAGGCAGCAGUAGGGAAUCUUCCGCAAUGGACGAAAGUCUGACGGAGCAACGCCGCGUGAGUGAUGAAGGCUUUCGGGUCGUAAAACUCUGUUGUUAGGGAAGAACAAGUGCUAGUUGAAUAAGCUGGCACCUUGACGGUACCUAACCAGAAAGCCACGGCUAACUACGUGCCAGCAGCCGCGGUAAUACGUAGGUGGCAAGCGUUAUCCGGAAUUAUUGGGCGUAAAGCGCGCGCAGGUGGUUUCUUAAGUCUGAUGUGAAAGCCCACGGCUCAACCGUGGAGGGUCAUUGGAAACUGGGAGACUUGAGUGCAGAAGAGGAAAAUGGAA
This 550-nucleotide ribosomal RNA is filed under the name Bacillus toyonensis. Its description in RNAcentral is "bacterial SSU rRNA". It matches the Rfam family "Bacterial small subunit ribosomal RNA", at positions 131 to 666 of the family's 1533-position model. The record is from RNAcentral. Lineage: Bacteria; Bacillati; Bacillota; Bacilli; Caryophanales; Bacillaceae.